GACAGAGGGUGCAAACGUUGUUCGGAAUUACUGGGCGUAAAGCGAGUGUAGGCGGUUUGGUAAGUCGGAUGUGAAAGCCCCGGGCUCAACCCGGGAAGUGCACUCGAUACUGCGUAGCUUGAGUACUGGAGAGGUUGGUGGAAUUCUCGGUGUAGAGGUGAAAUUCGUAGAUAUCGAGAGGAACACCGGUGGCGAAGGCGGCCAACUGGACAGAUACUGACGCUGAGACACGAAAGCGUGGGGAGCAAACAGG
Molecule: ribosomal RNA, 253 nt
Filed under: uncultured bacterium
Lineage: Bacteria
Description: partial 16S ribosomal RNA
Rfam family: Bacterial small subunit ribosomal RNA
Source: RNAcentral